This is a long non-coding RNA of Trichosurus vulpecula (common brushtail), 925 nucleotides long. RefSeq lists it as uncharacterized. NCBI's taxonomy places the organism in Eukaryota, Metazoa, Chordata, Mammalia, Diprotodontia, Phalangeridae. The transcript has 4 exons. The record is from RefSeq and is a predicted model, not a curated record.
UCGCAAGCGUUACCUGGCACGAGGUUGGUGUGAGUGCCCAAAGGCGGCUACCGCCAAAUGCAGAUGGUGACGACACACGUGGUUGAUGGCGAUAACAUCUCAUGACAAUAUAAGGAAACUGAGGUACUGAAUACUUAAGUGAUGUGUCCAGGGUCACUCAGCCAGGGAGCUCAGGUCUUCCUGACUCCAAGAUACGGGUUCCAUCCGAGGAAGGCCAGAGAAAUAUUGACGUCUGAAUGGAGGAAACAGAAUUCAGAGCUGAUGCCACGGACAGUAGUAAUGACUGGUGUGUGGAAGUAGAUCAGAAUGGAAAUUCCAGAGACUUUCAUGGAGCAUGGAAUGGAAUACAGAAUGGGAAAGCAACGUCAGAGUCAGGUUCCACUGACUUUUCAUGACUCUGUUCAUAGACUAGUUGGAGAAGAGGAGUCUGGAUCAGAGAGCUACUAGUAAGGAUGAACUGAAAACCAAGAAAGAAAAAGAAGAUAGGGCUGGAGGAAAAAGAUAAAGGAGGAAGAAAAACCUUCUUGAGCAAACCUCUGAGAAUCAUGCAAUGCACGUCCUUGUGCCUUUUGCUCACUGCCGUCUUGCUGACUUUUAAAGUCGAGAUGCAUUUCUGACUCAGAGCAUCAGCUCUGCAGGCACAGCGGCCAAGGUACCCAUGGCCAAGGAAGGCACUGGGGCCAAGGCACGGCGAAACAGCUGACUCAUGACUCUGCCCCUUUGCUGCAAUUACAAACAUUAUCAUCUCAUCUGGAAUUAGGUGGGGUGGUGGUUGGAUAUGAAAUAUUCACUUGGGAGCAGCUUUGAUGAAGUUUAAUGAAAUACAUAAGCCAGGGUGUUUCUUCGAAUUCCCCUUAAUUUAAGAAACUCCCAUUAACGUAAUAAAAAAUAAUUUGCCCAUUAUAAAUUAAUUAAUAGAUUUAAA